Molecule: non-coding RNA, 87 nt
Filed under: Massilia sp. WF1
Lineage: Bacteria; Pseudomonadati; Pseudomonadota; Betaproteobacteria; Burkholderiales; Oxalobacteraceae
Also listed under: 1 other name
Description: c-di-GMP-I riboswitch aptamer
Rfam family: c-di-GMP-I riboswitch aptamer
About the family: GEMM was predicted in a large-scale screen for bacterial structured RNA regulatory elements. Genes associated with GEMM are involved in a diverse array of functions, including chemotaxis regulation, signal transduction, secretion and chitin.
Source: Rfam by way of RNAcentral
AUCUGCAAAGGGCAAACUCCGCGAAAGUGGAGGACGCAAAGUCAACGGUCUAAAGGGCGCGAGCCCCAUGACGGCAGGACUGCCAGA